CCUUCGAUAGCUUAGUUGGUAAAGCAGAGUACUGUAGGCUCCUUUGCACGGCCAUCCUUAGGUCACUGGUUCAACUCCGGCUCGAAGGA
This 89-nucleotide transfer RNA is filed under the name Acanthisitta chloris (rifleman). It matches the Rfam family "tRNA". Rfam says of the family: Transfer RNA (tRNA) molecules are approximately 80 nucleotides in length. Their secondary structure includes four short double-helical elements and three loops (D, anti-codon, and T loops). The record is from Rfam by way of RNAcentral. Lineage: Eukaryota; Metazoa; Chordata; Aves; Passeriformes; Acanthisittidae.